GGCCAGCAGCCGCGGUAAAACGUAGGAGGCGAGCGUUAUCCGGAUUUACUGGGUGUAAAGCGCGUGCAGGCGGGUUGAUAAGUUGGAUGUGAAAGCUCCCGGCUUAACUGGGAGAGGUCGUUCAAGACUGUCAGCCUUGAGUACAGUAGAGGAAAGUGGAAUUCCGGGUGUAGUGGUGAAAUGCGUAGAUAUCCGGAGGAACACCAGUGGCGAAAGCGGCUUUCUGGACUGUAACUGACGCUCAGACGCGAAAGCUAGGGUAGCAAACGGGAUUAGAGACCCCGGUAGUCCUAGCCGUAAACGAUGUAGACUUGGCGUAGGCGGGUUUAAAUCCGGCUGUGCCGAAGCAAACGCGAUAAGUCUACCACCUGGGGACUACGGCCGCAAGGUUAAAACUUAAAGGAAUUGGCGGGGGAC
RNAcentral lists this ribosomal RNA (417 nucleotides) under uncultured bacterium. RNAcentral's name for it is "bacterial SSU rRNA". It matches the Rfam family "Bacterial small subunit ribosomal RNA", at positions 506 to 921 of the family's 1533-position model. The record is from RNAcentral.